ACGAACGCUGGCGGCGCGCCUAACACAUGCAAGUCGAACGGAGCUGAGAGAAGCUUGCUUUUCUUAGCUUAGUGGCGAACGGGUGAGUAACGCGUGAGUAACCUGCCCUGGAGUGGGGGACAACAGUUGGAAACGACUGCUAAUACCGCAUAAGCCCACGAUCCGGCAUCGGAUUGAGGGAAAAGGAUUUAUUCGCUUCGGGAUGGACUCGCGUCCAAUUAGCUAGUUGGUGAGGUAACGGCCCACCAAGGCGACGAUUGGUAGCCGGACUGAGAGGUUGAACGGCCACAUUGGGACUGAGACACGGCCCAGACUCCUACGGGAGGCAGCAGUGGGGGAUAUUGCACAAUGGGGGAAACCCUGAUGCAGCGACGCCGCGUGGAGGAAGAAGGUUUUCGGAUUGUAAACUCCUGUCGUUAGGGACGAUAAUGACGGUACCUAACAAGAAAGCACCGGCUAACUACGUG
This 467-nucleotide ribosomal RNA is filed under the name uncultured bacterium. RNAcentral's name for it is "partial 16S ribosomal RNA". It matches the Rfam family "Bacterial small subunit ribosomal RNA", at positions 29 to 507 of the family's 1533-position model. The record is from RNAcentral.